UACGGAGGGUGCAAGCGUUAUCCGGAUUUACUGGGUUUAAAGGGUGCGUAGGUGGGUUGGUAAGUCAGUGGUGAAAUACUUUCGCUUAACGAAGGAACUGCCAUUGAUACUACCAGUCUUGAAUACAGUGGAGGUGGGCGGAAUGCGUCAUGUAGCGGUGAAAUGCUUAGAUAUGACGCAGAACACCAAUUGCGAAGGCAGCUUGCUACACUGUUAUUGACACUGAGGCACGAAAGCGUGGGGAUCAAACAGG
Molecule: ribosomal RNA, 253 nt
Filed under: uncultured bacterium
Lineage: Bacteria
Description: partial 16S ribosomal RNA
Rfam family: Bacterial small subunit ribosomal RNA
Source: RNAcentral